RNAcentral lists this ribosomal RNA (1087 nucleotides) under Pseudomonas aeruginosa. RNAcentral's name for it is "partial 23S ribosomal RNA". It matches the Rfam family "Bacterial large subunit ribosomal RNA", at positions 1141 to 2215 of the family's 2925-position model. The record is from RNAcentral. Lineage: Bacteria; Pseudomonadati; Pseudomonadota; Gammaproteobacteria; Pseudomonadales; Pseudomonadaceae.
CUCACUAGUCGAGUCGGCCUGCGCGGAAGAUGUAACGGGGCUCAAACCACACACCGAAGCUGCGGGUGUCACGCAAGUGACGCGGUAGAGGAGCGUUCUGUAAGCCUGUGAAGGUGAGUUGAGAAGCUUGCUGGAGGUAUCAGAAGUGCGAAUGCUGACAUGAGUAACGACAAUGGGUGUGAAAAACACCCACGCCGAAAGACCAAGGGUUCCUGCGCAACGUUAAUCGACGCAGGGUUAGUCGGUUCCUAAGGCGAGGCUGAAAAGCGUAGUCGAUGGGAAACAGGUUAAUAUUCCUGUACUUCUGGUUACUGCGAUGGAGGGACGGAGAAGGCUAGGCCAGCUUGGCGUUGGUUGUCCAAGUUUAAGGUGGUAGGCUGAAAUCUUAGGUAAAUCCGGGGUUUCAAGGCCGAGAGCUGAUGACGAGUCGUCUUUUAGAUGACGAAGUGGUUGAUGCCAUGCUUCCAAGAAAAGCUUCUAAGCUUCAGGUAACCAGGAACCGUACCCCAAACCGACACAGGUGGUCGGGUAGAGAAUACCAAGGCGCUUGAGAGAACUCGGGUGAAGGAACUAGGCAAAAUGGCACCGUAACUUCGGGAGAAGGUGCGCCGGCUAGGGUGAAGGAUUUACUCCGUAAGCUCUGGCUGGUCGAAGAUACCAGGCCGCUGCGACUGUUUAUUAAAAACACAGCACUCUGCAAACACGAAAGUGGACGUAUAGGGUGUGACGCCUGCCCGGUGCCGGAAGGUUAAUUGAUGGGGUUAGCGCAAGCGAAGCUCUUGAUCGAAGCCCCGGUAAACGGCGGCCGUAACUAUAACGGUCCUAAGGUAGCGAAAUUCCUUGUCGGGUAAGUUCCGACCUGCACGAAUGGCGUAACGAUGGCGGCGCUGUCUCCACCCGAGACUCAGUGAAAUUGAAAUCGCUGUGAAGAUGCAGUGUAUCCGCGGCUAGACGGAAAGACCCCGUGAACCUUUACUGUAGCUUUGCACUGGACUUUGAGCCUGCUUGUGUAGGAUAGGUGGGAGGCUUUGAAGCGUGGACGCCAGUUCGCGUGGAGCCAUCCUUGAAAUACCACCCUGGCAUGCUU